This is an unclassified non-coding RNA of Macaca fascicularis (crab-eating macaque), 117 nucleotides long. It matches the Rfam family "Metazoan signal recognition particle RNA". From Rfam's summary of the family: The signal recognition particle (SRP) is a universally conserved ribonucleoprotein. It is involved in the co-translational targeting of proteins to membranes. Lineage: Eukaryota; Metazoa; Chordata; Mammalia; Primates; Cercopithecidae. The record is from Ensembl.
GCCGGGUGUGGUGGCUCACACCUAUAAUCCCAGCACUUUGGGAGGCCGAGGUGGGCGGAUCUCCUGAGGUCGGGAGUUCGAGACCAGCCUGACCAACAUGGAGAAACCCCAUCUCUA